GUUGGCUAAUCCUGGUCGGACAUCAGGAGGUUAGUGCAAUGGCAUAAGCCAGCUUGACUGCGAGCGUGACGGCGCGAGCAGGUGCGAAAGCAGGUCAUAGUGAUCCGGUGGUUCUGAAUGGAAGGGCCAUCGCUCAACGGAUAAAAGGUACUCCGGGGAUAACAGGCUGAUACCGCCCAAGAGUUCAUAUCGACGGCGGUGUUUGGCACCUCGAUGUCGGCUCAUCACAUCCUGGGGCUGAAGUAGGUCCCAAGGGUAUGGCUGUUCGCCAUUUAAAGUGGUACGCGAGCUGGGUUUAGAACGUCGUGAGACAGUUCGGUCCCUAUCUGCCGUGGGCGCUGGAGAACUGAGGGGGGCUGCU
RNAcentral lists this ribosomal RNA (361 nucleotides) under Salmonella enterica subsp. enterica serovar Montevideo. RNAcentral's name for it is "partial 23S ribosomal RNA". It matches the Rfam family "Bacterial large subunit ribosomal RNA", at positions 2316 to 2676 of the family's 2925-position model. The record is from RNAcentral. Lineage: Bacteria; Pseudomonadati; Pseudomonadota; Gammaproteobacteria; Enterobacterales; Enterobacteriaceae.